This is a ribosomal RNA of Ochotona princeps (American pika), 117 nucleotides long. The record is from Ensembl. NCBI's taxonomy places the organism in Eukaryota, Metazoa, Chordata, Mammalia, Lagomorpha, Ochotonidae.
GUCUACGGCCAUACCACCCUGAACACGUCCGAUCUCGUCUGAUCUCAGAAGCUAAGCAGGGUCGGGCCUGGUUACUACUUGGAUGGGAGAAACUAAAAGGGCCAGGAUUUGGGGUCA